This 2627-nucleotide ribosomal RNA is filed under the name Phragmocalloria faberi. RNAcentral's name for it is "eukaryotic LSU rRNA". The stretch from base 1291 to 2627 matches the Rfam family "Eukaryotic large subunit ribosomal RNA", at positions 1 to 1419 of the family's 3401-position model. The record is from RNAcentral. Lineage: Eukaryota; Fungi; Ascomycota; Leotiomycetes; Helotiales.
UGGCCAGGGAGGGUGGCAACACCCACCCAGGGCCGGAAAGUUGUUCAAACUUGGUCAUUUAGAGGAAGUAAAAGUCGUAACAAGGUUUCCGUAGAAAAUAAGUUCUGGAACACUCCCGUACUGGGGUCUAGUAGCUUAGGGUUAGCCCCUAUCUGCCUAGUAAUGUUUCUUCCAUGGUACACUUAUAGAAGCCUAUGUAGCCCUGAAAAUGGGUGUCUACCACGACGAUAAAUAAUGGUAUACUUUGCAAGUCAGGUAAUCUGGCAACAUAAUCGAAUUGCGGGGAUCUCCUAAAGCUUGUUGGUACCAACUAUAGGUGGAAACACCUAUAGGGCCUGUGUUAAUACUACAGGGUGGUCAAAAUCCUCCAAGAUACUAUAAUGGAUAAUCCGCAGCGAAUCUCCUACGGGUAUUAACCUACGGGGAACGUUCACAGACUAAGUGAUUAUGGGCGCUACCGUCACGGAACGUCUAAGAUAUAGUCGGGCACUGUAGGAGACUACAGUGAUGUGAAAUCAUAUGAAAAGGUUUCUGGUUGGUGGCAGAAAUAAACGGUUUGAUUCUAUAGUUCAACGCUGCAAGUUCUAAUCUACGUAUCCUACAAAAGCUCAAAAUACUGGUGAAGACUGUUGAGGAUAAGAGUUGGAGAGUUGGGGAGUUGGAGGCUGUUGAGAUAGACUGCUUCGUGAUUCACAGGGCUGUUUGAGCAACUUUGUGAUCACUGUCCAAACUCUUGUCCUCCUAAGGCCAUUGUUGUUCUAUAGAAUUGCCCUUUUCAGAAUGUGAUUCUCAAAACCGUUCCGUAGGUGAACCUGCGGAAGGAUCAUUACAGAGUUCUUGCCCUUACGGGUAGAUCUCCCACCCUUGAAAUCCGUACCUAUGUUGCUUUGGCAGGCCGUGGCCUCCACCGCUGGCUCCGGCUAGUGUGUGCCUGCCAGAGGACCCAACUCUUGAUUUUAGUGAUGUCUGAGUACUAUAUAAUAGUUAAAACUUUCAACAACGGAUCUCUUGGUUCUGGCAUCGAUGAAGAACGCAGCGAAAUGCGAUAAGUAAUGUGAAUUGCAGAAUUCAGUGAAUCAUCGAAUCUUUGAACGCACAUUGCGCCCCUUGGUAUUCCGAGGGGCAUGCCUGUUCGAGCGUCAUUAUGACCAAUCAAGCCCAGCUUGGUGUUGGGGCCCGCCUUCCAGCGGCCCCUAAACCCAGUGGCGGUGCCGUUGGGCUCUCAGCGUAGUAAUACUCCUCGCUACAGGGUCCCGCGGUUGCUUGCCAGCAACCCCCAACUUCUUAGGUUGACCUCGGAUCAGGUAGGGAUACCCGCUGAACUUAAGCAUAUCAAUAAGCGGAGGAAAAGAAACCAACAGGGAUUGCCUCAGUAACGGCGAGUGAAGCGGCAACAGCUCAAAUUUGAAAUCUGGCUCUCUCAGGGUCCGAGUUGUAAUUUGUAGAAGAUGCUUCGGGUGUGGCUCCGGUCUAAGUUCCUUGGAACAGGACGUCAUAGAGGGUGAGAAUCCCGUAUGUGACUGGUUGCCUCCGCCUAUGUGAAGCUCUUUCGACGAGUCGAGUUGUUUGGGAAUGCAGCUCAAAAUGGGUGGUAUAUUUCAUCUAAAGCUAAAUAUUGGCCAGAGACCGAUAGCGCACAAGUAGAGUGAUCGAAAGAUGAAAAGCACUUUGGAAAGAGAGUUAAACAGUACGUGAAAUUGUUGAAAGGGAAGCGCUUGCAACCAGACUUGCGCGCUGCCGAUCAUCCGGGGUUCUCCCCGGUGCACUCGGCUGUGCUCAGGCCAGCAUCGGUUUGGGUGGCUGGACAAAGGCCUUGGGAAUGUAGCUUCUCUCGGGGAGUGUUAUAGCCCUCGGUGCAAUGCAGCCUACCUGGACCGAGGACCGCGCUUCGGCUAGGAUGCUGGCGUAAUGGUUGUAAGCGACCCGUCUUGAAACACGGACCAAGGAGUCUAACAUCUAUGCGAGUGUUUGGGUGUCAAACCCAUACGCGUAAUGAAAGUGAACGGAGGUGAGAACCCUUUAGGGUGCAUCAUCGACCGAUCCUGAUGUCUUCGGAUGGAUUUGAGUAAGAGCAUAGCUGUUGGGACCCGAAAGAUGGUGAACUAUGCGUGAAUAGGGUGAAGCCAGAGGAAACUCUGGUGGAGGCUCGCAGCGGUUCUGACGUGCAAAUCGAUCGUCAAAUUUGCGCAUAGGGGCGAAAGACUAAUCGAACCAUUAAGCCUCCGGGCGUGCUAGGUGGUUGAGAGGGCGCCCAACCGGCGCCCUAGUCCGGGUCAACGGGCUACAUUAUCAAAGUGUUCGGGGACGUCCUGCUUGAAUUCUAGGCUACCGCAGCCUUCCCGAAAGGGGGGUGCGCACCAGGUUAAUCGCCUCGGGGAUGGUAACAACGCCUAGAUAGGGACUAUCCGCAGCCAACUCCUAAGGGCCACCGUGCCUACGGAUGCAGUUCACAGACUAGAUGGUAGUGGGCCCUGCUCUGCAGGGCUUAAGUUAUAGUCGGACCGCCAGGAGACUGGUCGGUGUAGAGGGAUUACGUAGGGUUGACGGUGCGCUCCGGCGUGUCCCUGCGUAUGAGUGCUCACCGGAGCUUAACACGCCUUAGCCUGCGUGCUAGGCUUGGGGGGGUG